UACAGAGGGCGCGAGCGUUGUUCGGAUUCACUGGGCGUAAAGGGUGCGUAGGUGGUGAGGUAAGUCGGAUGUGAAAUCUCCGGGCUCAACCCGGAAAUGGCAUUGGAAACUACCUUGCUGGAGGAUUUGAGGGGGGAUUGGAAUACUUGGUGUAGCAGUGAAAUGCGUAGAUAUCAAGUGGAACACCAGUGGCGAAGGCGAAUCCCUGGAAAAUACCUGACACUGAGGCACGAAAGCUAGGGGAGCAAACAGG
This 253-nucleotide ribosomal RNA is filed under the name uncultured bacterium. RNAcentral describes it as "partial 16S ribosomal RNA". It matches the Rfam family "Bacterial small subunit ribosomal RNA", at positions 524 to 776 of the family's 1533-position model. The record is from RNAcentral.